UGAACAUUUAAACAGCAGGGUUACCAGAAAGAAAUUUGCUGAGUCCCAGCCCAGUGGCUCUGAGGACUGAAACAGCAGGGCUACCAGACAGAAUUCUGCUGAGUCCCAGUCCAGUUUCAGAAAGAAAAUUAUGGAAUGCCAUCGAUUGCAUCAAACUACCAACUUGUUUGAUCGAUCCAAGUUCGUUUGUAUGUGGGUUGGAGGAAUGUCAGCUCGCGCAAUUGCUCAAGAAACUGGGGCCAGCGUUACCACAAUAUGUCGAUGGAUCAGGAGGUGGAGGAAAGAGGGUCACAUAAACACCAAACCCCGUAGAGGAAGACCACGAAAAAAUAAAAUGUAUAUAAUGAAAUACUUGGGUGACCAUAUUAUACCAACUUCUCAAGCAGUUUCCAAUGUUUUCUCAAAAAAAACAACAUAUCUUUCUCCAUGUAUCUGUUUAUCUCCCUUAGCUGACCUUUUAUAUCAACAAAAUAUAAAUAGCGACAUUCUUCAUUUCCCAUACAUUAACAACUAUAUAAAAAGUGUUGAAGCCUACGAGGCCAUGUUCUGUCCAGAAGCUGACCAAUAAAUCAAUGACAGUUUCCUAAAAUAAAUAUUUGAAAUUAGGUAACGUAUAUGUAUGCAACAUAGAAAAGCUUUAUUUUUUUUUUUUAUGUUUUUCAUAUCAAAUAUCACUGAAUCCUUUUCAAAUAGUAACAUCAACUGAUUAUGAUUAUCAUCCAAUUUAUGUGUUGUAUUUUGCCACAGAGCCAGACGCUAACCAUGGUUAAUUUACCUAUGCAUAUGGUGAAAUGUGCUUACUUAAGAAAAAUAAAUGGUAACGAAAGUUUUGUUGUUUUGAGUCUACUUACACGAAAGUUUUGUUGUUUUGAGUC
Molecule: long non-coding RNA, 875 nt
Organism: Scylla paramamosain (green mud crab)
Lineage: Eukaryota; Metazoa; Arthropoda; Malacostraca; Decapoda; Portunidae
Exons: 3
Source: RefSeq, a predicted model, not a curated record